RNAcentral lists this long non-coding RNA (28726 nucleotides) under Gossypium raimondii (Peruvian cotton). RNAcentral's name for it is "long non-coding RNA (GRAI_LNC008989)". Lineage: Eukaryota; Viridiplantae; Streptophyta; Magnoliopsida; Malvales; Malvaceae. The record is from RNAcentral.
GGACCUAGUCCUUGAAAUUUGACAUUAAUCGCACUGCCUUGUAUGUGAAAAUUAUCGCGCGAUCGCUUGCGAUCUUCAUCUUCUCUGUUCGUCCUUCCAGAAAAAGAAAUUCAGGUUGGGAGUAUUACACAGCUUUCUUUUGGUUAGCUCCUCUUUGUCCACCAUUUUUGCCCCCAAUAUGCAGAUCUUGUUCACGAAAGUUCUAACGAACACCGAUGUAGAGAAAAGAUUGGCGGUUCCCAACAAUUCACUGAAGCAUUUCGAGCUUGAAAAUGGUAAUUGCUCCAAAUCUUUUGAAGUUAAAGAUGAAAACGGAAGCACAUGGACUUUUCGUUGCUAUGUUCGUAACGACGGUGCCUACAAGAAGCCUGUUUUAUCCAGUGGUUGGCGUCAAUUUGUCCUCAAUAAAGGAGUUCACCAGGGAGAUUUGAUCACACUCUAUAAGGAUGUUGAAGAAGAAGCUUCGUAUAAGAUCGAAGUUCAGAGAAAAAUCAAGUUAUUAGGCAAGGAGUGCUGGUCUAGUCUGGAACCAGACCAACCUGCAGGCGCAACAGCACAAGUUCAGAGAAAAAUCCUGUUAUUUGGCAAGGAGUGCUGGUAUUUUCUGGAACCAGAACAACCAACAGACGCAACAGGAAAAGUUAUUCAAGCCUAGCAGUCCUGCCGGAUGUUUAACAAUAUAUGUUUGUUAGGUAUGGUAUGGUGUUUCUGGAGCUGAUUUCAUGACUAGCAGUUUGUGAAACAUAUCUUAGCAGUCUGAAAUGAAUAAAUUACUUCAGUAAUAUCUGUCAUCCCCAUAUGUUAUAUUUACAUUUGUGCACAAUUUGUUCAAAAUGUGAGUGGAAGUCUGUUCUUCAUCUUUCUCCUUUCUGUAGCCUUAUAUAUGGAGUUCUUUCUUUCCAUCUUUCCAUGUCCUAUUACAGAGUUUUUCUUCUUCUUGUUUUGGUUAUCAUAUUAGAAAAUUGUCUGUGAUUUUGCUUCUUGAAACAUGAGAUUGAAUCAUUGAAAGGGAGUGCCCAAGAUCAUUUUGUAAUGUUUGGAAUGUUAAGUGACCAAAAUGUAAAUAUGCUAAUAGUUUAGUGACCUUCGAUAGAAUUUACCCCAUAAUUUCCUCUUGUAAUAAGAUAAUCGUCCACCAUGGAGGUUGAAAAAUCAAAGUUUAACAAUGGUGGCUUAAUUUUACACGGCAUUGAAAAAUUGACCCAAAAAAGAUAUUGGGAUGGGUUUUAAUGCCUUGUAAUUCUUCUUUUUUACUCAACCUCUACCAACUCUUGUCUUAUCAGAGGGGGAAAUUUUGGGUAAACUGUAUUACUAAAUUUACUUUUUGGUCACUUAAUAUAGAAAAGCUCAGUUGUUAAGGUUUUUUUUUUUUUUUUUUUUAAAGUUUGGUUAAUGUGAUCCAAUAGAUAAUUUGACUAUCAGUAUGAUGGAUCACUAAUCAUCAAUAAGUUAUUCAACAUACCUUAAAUCUAAGUUAAUGUAAUGGUCAGUGUUGGAGGUCAGAGAAUAAAGUUGUUAGAAUUUUAGGUUGUAGAUUCGUGAAAUUUAAAGUUGUUUUAUGAAAAAUAUUUGAACUAUAGAAAAGAAGAAAAAUGUGAAUUUUCGAUUGGUGUAGGCGGUGUGAACAAAAAAGGUCACACAACAAAAAUUUUAAUAGCCCAAUAAUUUAAAUGAAAAAUUUUGAAUUAUUCAAUGAUUAUUUGUAAAAUUGAGUAACCAAAACGUAAAUUUAUAAAUAAUUUAAUGAUUUUAAGUGCAACUUAUCCAAUAAUUCCUCAUCUAAUAAUUCAAAAGUUCGAGGACCGUGUAGAGGUUAUAAAAUAAAAGUCUUAAGCGAUAGUGGUUUAAUUAGCUGGACGUAGAAAAAAUUGCAAUUGUUCUUUCUGACUCAACCCCUAUGAACAGCGGACUUUUGUCUGGAGGAAAUUAUGUGCAAAGUCAUUAAAUUAUUAUUAAGUUAGUUUUAAGCGACAAUUCAAUAUUUGGUACGGUUGAUUAAUAUCCAUCGAUAAGUAGAAGAAUUUAUCUUAGGUCCAAGUCAAUCUUACAAUCGAUGUCGAAGGUCAAAGAAAAAAAUUGUUUAGAUUUUAGUUUGUAGAUUCAUGAUAUCUAAAGCUGUUUCAUGAAAAAAAUUGAACUAUAAAAGAGAAGGGGUCAGAGAGCCUUCAAUUAGUGCAGAUGAUGCGAACAUAUAAGGACAUGCAAUAACAAUUUUAACAACCCAGUGACUUAAAUUAAAAAUUUCAAAUAAUUCAGUGACACCAUUUUGUAACUUUUUAAGUGAUAAAAUUAUAAUCUUACUAAUAGUUUAGACUCUAGAUGUAGUUUAUCCAAUAAUUUCCUCCUCUAAUAAGACAAAAGUUGCUAAACUGUCGAGGUUGAAAAGUCAAAAGUUGUGAGCAAUACUUUUGCAAUACUUAAGUUUUACUCAACCGAGGAGGAAAUCAUGGGUAAAUUGCAAUCAAGGUCAUUAAACUACUAUUAAGUAUAUUUUGGUCAUUCAAUAUUAAGAAGUUAUAAAAUGAUUAUUGAUUUAUUCGAAAGUUUUUAUUUAAGUCAUUGGACUAUUAAGUUUUAUUUUCUAAAAAAAUUACUAGUGAGUUCCAAGCGUCGAUUCAAUGAUUAGUAUAGUGGAUUAGCAGCCAUUUACAAGUAGAAAAAUAUACCUUAAAUCUAAGUUGAUUUGGCGGUCAAUGUCGAAGAUUAGAGAAGAAAGCUAUUUGAAUUUUGAUUCGCAGAUUUAUAACGUUCAAAGCUAUUUCAAGAAAAAAAGAAAUUGAAUGAUAGAAGAGAAGGGAACAAAGAGCUUUUGAUUGGUUUAGAUGAUGCAAAUAGAAAAGAUCAUGUAGCAUCAAUUUUAAUAGUCCAGUGACUUAAAUGAAAUCUUUCAAAUAAUUCAAUGAUCAUUUUGUGACUUUUUAAAAUUAAAUAAAAAAAUAAAUUUACUAAUAGUUUAAUAUUUUAUCCAAUAAUUCCUCCUCUAGUUAGACAAACGUUCACGGUGGAAGUUGAAAACAUUGGUGGCAUGAUGUAGCACGGCAUUGAAAAUCUGAACCAGAAAAGAAAAUUAGGAUGGCUUUGGACACUUUGCAAGUCUUCUUUUCUACUCAACCUCUACCAACUCUUGUCUUAUUAAAAGAGGAAAUUAUGGGUAAACUACACACUAAGUCACUAAAUUAUUAUUAAGUUUACAUUUUGGUCACUUAAAUUAAAAAACUAUACUGCUUAAGUAUUUAUUUUAAAAAAGACAAAAGUUUGGUUAGCGAGCUCCAAAUGCCAAUUCGACGAUCGGUAUGGUGGACCAGAACCCAUCGACAAGUAGAAGAACAAACUUUAGAUCCAAGUCGAUCUGACCAUCAGUAGUGCGGAUCAAUGAAGAAAGUUGUUGGGACUUUGAUUCGUAGAUUCGUGAAAUUCAAAGUUGUUUUAUGAAAAAUAUCUGAACUGUAGAAAAGAAGGGAAAAGUAAACUUUUGAUUGGUGCAGGCGUUGUGAAUAGAAAAGGCCACACAACAAAAAUUUUAAUAGCCCAAUAACUUACAUGAAAAGUUUUGAAUUGUUUAAUGACCAUUUUUAAAAUUGAGUAACCAAAACAUAAAUUUACAAAUAAUUUAAUGACCUUAAGUGCAGUUUACCCAAUAAUUCCUCCUCUAAUCUAGAAGUUAUAAAAUAAAAGUCUAAAGCAAUAGUGGUUAAAUUAGCUGGACGUUGAAAAUAUUAGUCUUAAGCAAUAGUGGUUUAUUAGCUGGCCGUUGAAAAUAUUGAAAUGAUUCUUUCUGACUCAACCACUAUCAUCGGUGGGUUUUUGCCUAGAGGAGGAAAUUAUGGGUAAAUUACACCCAAAGUCACUAAAUUAUUAUUAAGUUAGUUUCAAGCUACAAUUCAACGACCGGUACGGUUGAUUAAUACCUAUCGACAAGUAGAAGAACAUACCUUAGGUCUAAGUCGAUUUAACGAUCAGUGUCGAAGGUCAAAGAAGAAACUUGUUUGGACUUUGGUUUGUAGAUUUGUGAUAUUAAAAGUUAUUUCAUGAAAAAAAAUUGAACUAUAAAAGAAAAUGGUCAGAGAGCCUUCAAUUAGUGCAGGCAAUGUAAACAAAUAAGGACAUGCAACAACAAUUUUAAUAAUCCAGUGACUUAAAUAAAAAUUUUCGAAUAGUUCAAUAACACUAUUUUAUAACUUUUUAAAGUUGAAUAAUAAAAUUAUAAACUUACUAAUAGUUUAGGGAUAUUGGUCACGGUUUACUCAAUAAUUCCCUCCUCUAAUAAUAUAAAAGUCAAAGUUUUAACCGUGGUGGCAUACUUUAGCACCGCUUUGAGAAAUUGACAGGGCUUUGAACAUGUUACCAUUCUUUUUUUUUUACUCAAUGUCUACCAACUCUUAUCUGAUUAAAGAAGGAAAUUAUGAGUAAAUUAUAUUUAAGGUUAUUAAAUUAUUACUAAAUUUACGUUUUAGUCACUUAAUCUUAAAAAAAUUAGACUGUUAAGUUUUUUUUUUCUAAAAGGAAGAUUGGCUAAGUAGUUUCAAGUGAUGAUUCGAUAAUAAGUACUGUGAAUUAGUAUUUACUGGCAAGUAGAAGAACAUACCUUAGAUCUAAGGGUCAGUGUCCAAGAUUAGAGAAAAAAGCCAAUGACAUUAGAUAUAAUUUACCCUAUAACAAUUUUAAUAGCUCAAUGACUUGAAUGACAAGUUUUGAAUAGUUUGGUGAUCGUUUUAUAACUUUUUAAAGUUAAAUGAUCAAAACGUAAACUUACUAACAGUUUAAUAACAUAGAUAUAAUUUACCCAAUAAUUCCUCCUGAAAUAUGUCAAGAGUUGGUGAACCGUAGAGGUUGAAAAAUCGAAGUUGUGAGAAAUGGUGGGACAAUUAAUAGAAGAACUUGAGAAUAUUUAAUUCUUUUAUACCCGACCUCUGAGGAACUAGAGGAGGAAAUUUCGGGUAAAUUACUCUCAAGGUCACUAUAGUAUUAUCAAGUUACACUUUGAUCAUUCAAUUUUAAAAAGAAUUACAAAAUGACCACUGAAUAGCUUAUAAAUUAUGAGGAUCGGCCAUCUUUUUACUCGACCAAAGUUCACAAAUCAAAAAGAGAAAGAAAGGAUUGUUCUUCGAUAAGGUCAAGCUCUUUUCAUUUCCCCUUUUCAUUCUCACCAGAAUAUGCUAUUCUUUUGAGUUUUAACGUUAAUUAAUCACCAAAUUGUAUUGUUUUUCGCAGGAAUAGCGAUAACAGCGGCAUGACCAACCAUAAACUUAGGAAUUUCAGCCUUCGGAUGGCUGUAUUCCACGCCCUCUUGAAGAUCAAAUUCCAAUCCGAACGUAACAUUGAAUCUCCGUUCGAGACCCAAAGUGUGAUCGUGGCUGCGUUUGUGAUUUGUAUCCUUUUGUACGCCACAACUUUGUGCACUCCAUACUUCCCUGAACUUAUCGAUGACAUCAACCUCCUUGCCGGAAGUCUUGCCACUAUUUUACUUACGUUUAUCCUUUUCCCCGGUCUAGGUUGGGUUAUUAUUGUCAUUUGGGUCAUUUUCUUUGUUAAGCUAGUAUGCCGUGCAAUUGGAAAGUUUUGCCAGCUAUACCAUGACAUGCCAUCUAUAUCCGAUUUAUUCAAUCGAGUUUUUCUCGGUCGCCAGGCUCACCAAAACGAGGAAAGGUUAUUACCUCUUCAUGCAUGUCUAUACUAUUUCUAUCUCAUCACCAACUUAGCGAGGAAAAGAUCUAAAAGCUAUUAUUUGAGGAAAAUUAUUUGGUAUACAGUUAGUGAAAUUUUUAGACUCUACAAGUACAAUUGGAGCUGACAAGUGUCUUAUAGGUAUAAUAAAAUAGUGAACAAAUAAAUAUUUUAAAAAUUAGGAGACAUGUCAAAUUUUGUAAGGUUACUUGUGAAAUAAAAAAAAAUACAUUGCCAGUGUAACAAAUGUUCACCUUUAUUUUUAAUAAUAAAUAACAUUACUUUAAAGUGUUUUUAUCUUUUUAUAUCCAAAAUAAUUCCAAGUAACAGCACUUGAACGUAGGAUACCAAAAUCCCCAAAGAUUCAACUGAACUCUUAUUGAUUUUUUGUUAAGACUCACAACAAAAGUAAUACAUGUCCCAUUUAAGGUAUUGAUAUUUGGAUCCUGCUUGUGAAAUUAAAAAAUUUCAUGAGUGUGUGCCAAAUAAUUAUUUGCUACACAAGCGGGUUGAAAUGGAAUAACACUAACUUAGUAAAUGAUAUUACUUUAAAAGUGUUUUUGUAUUCUUAUAUUUAAACCCAAAAUAAAUUCAAAUGGCAACACUUGAGUUAAGAAGAUUCAGUUUAAUCAUUUCAAUCAAACUCUAAUUGAUUUUUUUAUGUUAAUGUGUUCAAUCUUUUGAAGGAAUGUUUGUUUAUCCAAAAUAACAUUUUUUUUUGUUGAGUGUAGGAAUGGUAGCACAGCCAACUACAAUUGGCAUGCUAGUUUGGCCUUCGCAAUAGGUGUACUCCUCCCUCUCAUGCCACUAAAGUAUCCUCAGUCCACGAAGCCACUUGAGACCCACAGUGCGCUCAUGUUGAUACUUAUCAUUGCUGUGCUUGUGUACGUCGCAGCUUGGGAAAUCGAACAUCAUCCUCAAACCAACAACAAUAACUCAUCCAUUCACCCCAUCAUAGUUACUAAAAUCAGUCUCUUUAGUGGAAGCCUCGUCACCGUUGUACUGGUAUUGCUUAUCGUCCCGGAAAUUGGGUGGUUCAUCCUUCUUGUUUGGACCCUCUUCCUUAUGAAGCAAAUAUACGAGGCAUGCCAUAUGCUCCACCGACUCAACCGGUCAAUUUCAUUGGUUUCGUAUGUGUUCAAUGAAGAAUUUGGUCCCCGUGCUCAUCUAAGCCAAGGAAGAAAUGGAUUGGUAGCUUAAGUAAAAUAACAAGUUAUUUAGAGUUUUAAAAGUAUUCUUAAUUGAUUUCGUGCCUUUUUAUGCUUAAGUAAAAUAACAAGUUAUUUAUCCCACUGAUCUUGUUUCAUUCCCAGAAGUGAAUGUAGCAUUACACAAUAAUUAUGAAAAUGAAAAUUAUAGAGGUUAUGUAACAUUACAUAAUAAUUAAAAAGUUUUUUCUUUUAAAGAAAAAUAACGAAAUUCAGGCCAAGUACAAGCUAUCCAAACUAAUUAGGAGUGUGACAAACUCAAUUUGAUUCAAAAUAUUGAGUUAAUUUAAUUAAGUUAUUCGAGUUAACCGACUUUUUAAGUAAACUCGAACGAGUAAUUUAAUUUUUCAAAAUAUAUAUAGUCUCAAAUUUAUGUACCUUUAGCUUGGAAUUUAGCACUAUCGUCAAGAAGGUUCUAAUUUGGUCUCUCUCUUGUAAUUUAAUUUAAAUAAAUUUUAAUAGUCCAGUAAUUUAAAUGAAGAAUUUUGAAUUGUUCAAUGAUAAUAUUUAAAGUUAAGUAACCAAAAUGUAAAUAUAUAAAUAAUUUAAUGACCUUAAGUGCAGUUAACCCAAUAAUUCCUCCUCUAAUAAUUCAAAAGUUCGCGAAAUAAAAGUCUUAAGCGAUGGUGAUUUAAUUAGCUGGACGUUGAAAUUUGAAAUUAAUCUUUCUGAUUCAACCACUACCAUCGGCGUGACUUUUGUCUAGAGGAGGAAAUUAUGGGUAAAUUACACCCAAAGUCCUUAAAUUAUUAUUAAGUUAGUUUCAAGCGACAAUUCGACGAUCGAUACAAUUGAUUAAUACCCACCGACAAGUAGAAGAGCAUAACUUAGGUCCAAUUCGAUCUAAUGAUUCAGUGUUGAGGGUCAGACAAGAAACUUGUUUAGAUUUUGGUUUGUAGAUUCGUGAUAUUCAAAACUGUUUCAUGAAAAAAAAUUGAACUAUAAAAGAGAAGGGGUUAAAAAGCCUUCAAUUAGUGCAGGCAACUUGAACAAAUAGGACAUGCAACAACAAUUUUAACAACCCCGUGAUUUAAAUGAAAACUUUCAAAUAGUUCAGUAACACCAUUUUGUAACUUUUUAAAGUUGAAUGAUAAAAUUAUAAACUUACUAAUAGUUUAGACUCUAGAUGUAGUUUAUCCAAUAAUUCCUCCUCUAAUAAGACAAAAGUUGCUGAACUGUCGAGGUUGAAGAGUCAAAAGUUGUGAGCAAUAACUAGAAUUGCAAGAUUGAAUAAGAAAACCAAUAGUACGGCAUUGAAAAUAGGCUUAAAAGAAAAAUUUCGCCAUUAAAGUUUAUAUGUUUUUGUUAAAAUGAUCCUAAUUAUAUUUUUGAGUUUUUUUGGUAAUCAACUUUGUUUUUUUUUUAACUAUUUUUUCUAAUAGAUUUGAUGAAAGUAUGGUUAAAAAAAUUAACAGGGAUGAUGUGAAAUAUUUUUAAUGAGAUAUAAUUUAUUAUUUAGGUAACCCAAUAAGAUAAUUACAUGUAAAAAAUAAUAAAAUAAAUAUAUCAUAUAUGAAAAUUAAAAAAUAACUCUUAAUUUUUAAAAAAUAAACGUAAUUAUCUAAAAAAGAAUGUUUCAAACUGAAUGCAUAUGUUUGUUUACUGAGAGGUUUUAAAAAAAAUAAUUAAUAAAUCAAACCGAAAAUAUUGGACGUGUGUAUCCAUUUUGAAACCAUUUUUUAGAUAAUUACGUUUUUUUAUUUAAAUUAAGAGUUAUUUUUUAACUUCAUAAAUUAUUUAUUUUAUUAUUUUCAACAUGUAAUUAUUUUAUUAGGCUAUUUAAGUAAUAAAUUACAUCUCAUUAAAAAUAUUUUGCAUAUGAAAUUCUAUAUAAUCCCAUUAACCUUUUUAACAAUACUUUCUUCAAAUUUGUUGAAAAAACAAUUUAAAAAAAACGAAUAAAGAUUGAUGGCAAAAAAAGGCUCAAAAAUACAAUUAGGGCCAUUUUGACAAAACAUGUAAACAUUAGUGGCCAAAUUUGUCAUUAAGUCUUGAAAAUAUUGCAAUCCUUCUGUUUUACUCAACCGAGGAGGAAAUCAUGCGUGUAAACUACCACCAAGGUCAUUAAACUAUUAUUAAGAUUAUAUUUUGGUCAUUCAAUUUCAAGAAAUUAUAAAAUGGUUAUUGAGUUAUUCAAAAAUUUUUAUUUAAGUCAUUGGACUAUUAGGUUUUUUCUAAAAAAAAUCUUACUAGUGAGUUUCAAGCAUUGAUUUGACGAUUAGUACAGUAGAUUAGCAUCCAUUGACAAUUAGAAGAAUAUAUCUUAUAUCUAAGUUGAUUUGAUGGCCAGUGUUGGAGAUUAAGAAGAAAGUUAUUUGAAUUUUGGUUCACAGAUUUAUGACAUUCAAAGCUAUUUCAAGAAAAAAAAAUUGAAUUGUUGAAGAGAAGGAAAUAGAAAGCUUUCGAUUGGCGCAGGUAAUGCAAAACAGAUAAGGCCAUGUAGUAUCAAUUUUGAUAGUCCAGUAACUUAAAUAAAAUCUUUUGAAUAGUUUAGUGAUUGUUUUGUGACUUUUUAAAAUUAAGUGAUCAAAAUAUAAAUUUACUAAUAGUUUAAUGACCUUAGAUGUAUUUUACCCAAUAAUUCCUCCUCUAAUUAGACAAACAUUCACCAUGGAAGUUAAAAACAUUGGUGGCAUUAGGGGUGAGCAAAAUCCGAUUCGAUUUGAAAAACUCGAUAAAAAAUUCAAAAUUUGAAUUAAAUAGUUUAAGUUAUUCGAGUUAAUCGAGUUAUUCAGAUAAACUCGAAUAAAAAAAUCAAAAUUUUCGGUUUAACUCGAAUAUGAAUUACACAAUUUGAGUUAAAAUCCAAUUAAGAAAAGGCAAAACUAUGUCAUUUUGAUUAAUGUUUACCCAUUAAGUUAAAAGGCAAAACCAUUAUAUUGUUUAUAUAGUUAAAUAAUAUUAUACUUCGUCUACUAGUUAAAUAAUUGAUCCAUGUAAACGCAACAUUGAGUAUAAAUAAUAAGAUUUGUUAACUUGAUUCGAUUAAAUUAGAGAAUAAUUCAAAUUGAGUUCAGUUGCUAAAAUAAGAUUCGUCAACUCGACUAACUUGAAAUUUUUUUACUCGACUCGAUCGAAUACUCACCCUUAGGUGGCAUGAUGUAGCACUGCAUUGAAAAAUUGAACAAAAAAAAUGGGACCGCUAUGAAUACUUUGCAAUUCUUCUUUUUCACCCAACCUCUACCAACUCUUGUCUUAUUAAAGGAGGAAAUUAUGGGUAAAAUACACUCAAGUGGCUAAAUUAUUAUUAAGUUUACAUUUUGGUCACUUAACUUAAAAAACUUGACUGUUAAGUUUUUUUUUUUUUAAAUAAAAGUUUGGUUAGCGAGCUCCAAAUGUCGAUUCAACGAUCAGUGUGGUGGAUCAGAACCCAUCGACAAGUAUAAAAACAAACCUUAGAUCCAAGUUGAUCUGACUAUUAGUAGCACGGAUUAGUGAAGAAAAUUAUUGGAAUUUUGGUCUGUAGAUCAAAGUUGUUUCAUGAAAAAAAUAUGAACUGUAGAAAAGAAUGAUAAGGAAAACUUUCAAUUGGUGUAGGCAGUGUGAACAGAGAAUGCCACGCAAUGAAAUUUUAACAGCCCAAUAACUUAAAUGAAAAUUUUUAAAUUGUUCAAUGACCAUUUUUAAAGUUGAAUAACUAAAACAUAAAUUUACAAAUAAUUUAAUGUCCUUAAGUGCAGUUUACCCAAUAAUUCCUCCUCUAAUAAUUCAACAGUUCGAGAACCGUGUAGAGGUUAUAAAAUAAAAGUCUUAAGUGAUAGUGGUUUAAUUAGCUGGGUGUUGAAAAUAUUGCAGUCUUAAAAAAUAGUGGUUUGAUAAGCUGGUCGUUGAAAAUAUUGAAAUGAUUCUUUCUGAAUCGAGCACCAUCAUCGGCGGGAUUUUGUCUAGAGGAGGAAAUUAUGGGUAAAUUACACCCAAAGUCAUUAAAUUAUUAUUAAGUUAGUUUCAAGUGACAAUCCAACGAUUGGUACGAUUGAUUAAUAAUCAUUGACAUGUAGAAGAACAUAUCUUGGGUCUAAGUCGAUCUGAUGAUUAGUGUCGAAUGUCAAAGAAGAAAUUUGUUUGUAUUUUAAUUUAUAGAUUCGUGAUACUCAAUUGGGUGGUUCAUUCUUCUUGUUUGGACCCUCAUCCUUAUAAAGCAAAUAUACGAGGGAUGCCAAAUGCUCCACCGGCUCUACCAGUCAAUUUCAUUGGCUCCAUAUGUGUUCAAUGGAAUAGUUGGUCCCCGUGGUCAUUUAAGCCAAUGAAGAAGUGGAUCGGUAGCUUAAGGUUUCUAGUGUAAUAACUUGUAGGAAAUAUUAUUUAUUACAUAUGUAUUACAAUAGUUAGAUAUUAAGUAAAAUUAUUAGUAUAAAUUUAAACUUAAAAUUAGAAAUAUAAAUAAAAACUUUUGUAAAAAAACAAAGUUUCUUCAAAAUAAGCAAAAAAAAAAAAAUCCUUCUCCUUUUUAGAUAGAAGUCAUGUGAAUGGUUAAAAAUUACCAAUUGAAAUUAUUUUAUUGCUAACUCAUAUACUAAAAUAUAGUGAAAAAUAAUACUCCUACAAAACUCAAGAAAUUAUCCUGCUUGGAAUGCUUAGUGAUAUGUCAACCAUGUUUUUCUUUUCUUUUCUUGCUUAAUUAAUUUAGUGAUUUUUGUAACAGCCUCGAUUUGCUCUCUAUCCAGUUUGAUGUUUAGACAGAUAUUUGAAUAGAGGUGUGGACAGAAAAAAAGGUAAUAAGCAAGUAAGAGAAAGAGAAAAAUAGGCAUACAAACUUUGUUAAUGCAGUUAAAAAAAUAUUCUAAUUAUGCGGACUCUCGCUCAGUGAAUGAUUUAUUCAACAAUCAAUCAAGUAACUUAUUGGUUAAAACUCAAUCUACCUUUACACAAAUAAAUAAUUGCAAUCUCAAUAGAUAACCCUAACUUGUUACAAUCACUCAUCCAAAUAAGCUAACUUACAAUCAAAUAUAACCUCUCCAAGAAAGCCUAUAACUCACAAGUGGUUUAAAAAUUUUCAUGAUUCAGUGCAAUAUUUCACUUUAAGAACAACAGUACUUCAAGCUAGCUAAACCAACAUAAAUAUCAAAAUCACCAAUGCAAUCCAAAAUCAACUGUACAAUAAUUUAUGUUUCACUCCCUUAGUUAAGCCGAAGCAGAGAAACUCCCAAGUAAUUAAACAAACAUUUACUCGAAAGUAACAAAGAAAGAAACAUCAGCAAUGAAGUUGAUCCAACUUGACGAUCAGUACGGUUGAUCAAUACCCAUCGACAAGUAGCAGAACAUAUGUUAGAUCCAAGUCGAUCUGAAGAUCAGUGUUGAAGGUCAGAGAAGAAAAUUGUUUGGAUUUUGGUUUGUAGAUUCGUGAUAUUCAAAAUUGUUUCAUUAGAAAAAAUAUAAACUAUAAAAGAGAAGGGGCCGGAGAGCUUUCAAUUAGUUCAUGCAAUGCAAACAAAUAAGGACAAGCAGUAACAAUUUUAACAGCCCGGUGACUUAGUUGAAACCUUUUGAAUAGUUCAAUGACACCAUUUUGUAACUUUUUAAAGUUGAGUGACUAAAUAAUAAAUUUACUAAUAAUUUAGUGACAUUACGUGUAAUUUACCCAAUAAUUUCCUAUUCUAAUAAGACAAAAGUCAAAGUUUUAACUAUGGUGGGCCAAUUUAGCACGCCAUUCAAAAAUUGAGCCAAAAAAAGGUAGGAGCUUUGAAUAUGUUGCAAUUCUUCUUUUUUUACUCAACGCCUACCAACUCUUAUCUUAUUAGAGGAGGAAAUUAUGAGUAAGUUACAUUCAAUUUUAUUAAAUUAUUACUAAGUUUAUGUUUUAGUCACUUAACUUAAAAAAGCUAGGCUGUUAAGCUUUUUUUUUUCUAAAAAGAUUGGUUAGGUAGCUCCAUGUGAUGAUUCGAUGAUCAGUACAGUGGAUUAGUACCCAUCAACAAGUAGAACAUGUCUUAGAUCUAAAGGUCAAUGUCGGAGACUAGAGAAGAAAGUUGUUCAGAAUUUGGUUAAUAGAUUUGUGAUGUUCAAAGUUGUUUCAUAAAGAAAAAACUAAACUAUAAAAGAGAAGGAGAAUGAGAACUUUCGAUUGUUGUAGGUGGUAUGAAGAAAAAAGACCAUGCAACAACAAUUUUAAUAACAUAAUGACUUAAAUGAAAGGUUUUGAAUAGACAAAUGGUCAUUUUGUAACUUUUUCAAGUUGAAUGAUCAAAAUGUAAAUUUACUAAUAAUUUAGUGACCUUAUAUGUAGUUUACCCAAUAAUUCCUCCUGAAAUAAGUCGAGUCUGUGAACCGUAAAGGUUGCAAAAUCAAAGUUGUGACCAAUGGUGGAAUAAUUAAUAGAGCAUUGAAAAUAUUGCAAUUAUUUUAUACUAAACCUCUCUAAUAUUAGAUGAGGAAAUUAUGGGUAAAUUACCCUUAAGGUCACUAUAUUAUUAUCAAGUUUAUGCUUUGAUCUCUCAAUUUUAAAAAAAUUUACAAAAUAUCACUAAAUAGCUUAUAAAAGAGAAGGGGAAGGUAAACUUUUAAUUGGUGCAGGUGGUGUGAAUAGAGAAGGCAAUGCAACAACAAUUUUAACUACCCAAUGACUUACAAGAAAAGUUUUGAAUAGUUUAGUGACCAUUUUGUAACUUUUUAAAGUUGAAAGACCAAAAUAUAAACAUACUAAUAGUUUAGACUCUAGAUGUAGUUUAUCUAAUAAUUCCUCCCCUAAUAAGACAAAAGUUACUGAACUAUCGAGGUUGAAAAGUCAAAGUUGUGAGCAAUAGCUAGAAUUGAAAGAUUGAAUAAAAAACAAUAGUAGGGAAUUGAAAAUAUUGCAAUCCUUCUGUUUUACUCAACAGAGGAGGAAAUCAUGGGUAAACUAUAACCAAGGUCAUUAAACUACUAUUAAGUUUAUAUUUUGGUCAUUCAAUUUUAAGAAAUUAUAAAAUGGUCAUUGAGUUAUUCAAAAGUAUUUAUUGAAGCCAUUGGACUAUUAAGUUUUAAAAAAAAAAUCUUACUAGCAAGUUUCAAGCGUCGAUUCGCGAUUAGUACAACGGAUUAGUAGCCAUUGACAAGUAGAAGAAUAUACUUUAGAUCUAAGCUGAUCUGAGGGUCAGUGUCAGAGAUAAGAGGAAAAAAAUAUUUGAAUUUUGAUUGGUAGAUUUAUGACGUUCAAAGUUGUUUCAAGAAAAAACUUGAAUUGUAGAAGAGAUUGGAAUAUAGAGCUUUUGAUUGGUGCUGGCAAUGCAAACAAACAAGUCCAUGUAGCAUAAAUUUUGAUAGUCUAGUGACUUAAAUUAAAUAUUCAAAUAGUUCAAUGAUCAUUUUGUGACUUUUUAAAAUUAAGUGAUCAAAACAUAAAUUUACUAAUAGCUUAAUGACCUUAGAUGUAUUUUACCCAAUAAUUCCUCCUUUAAUUUGACAAAUGUUCACCGUGGAAGUUGGAAACAUUGGUGGCAUGAUGUAGCACAUCAUUGAAAAACUGAACCAAAAAAAAAAGGAUGGCUUUGAAUACUUUGCUCAACCUCUACCAACCCUUUUCUUAGAGGAGGAAAUUAUGGGUGAACUACAAUCAAGUGACUAAACUAUUAUUAAUUUUACAUUUUACUCACUUAACUUAAAAAAUUGGCCUGUUAAAUUUAAAAAAAAAUAAAAGUCUAGGUAGCGAACUCCAAAUGAUGAUUCGACGAUCAGUAUGGUGGAUCAGAACCCAUCGAAUAGUAGAAGAACAAACCUUAGAUCCAAUUCGAUCUAGCUAUCAGUAGCGCAAAUCAAAGAAAAAAUUUGUUUGCAUUUUGGUUCCCAGAUUUGUGAUAUUCAAAGUUGUUCUAUGAAAAACAUCUGAACUGUAGAAGAUAAGGGAAAGAUGAACUUUUGAUUGGAGCAGGUGAUGUGAAAGAGAAGGCCACGCAACAAAAAAAUUAACAUUUCUGUAACAGCCCGAUUUCGACUCUAAUUGGACAUAGUGGUUUCGGGACCACAAGUUCCAGUCAAAAAAAUAUUUUAAUAUUAUUUUCUGUGUUUAUCAUGUGUGAAUUUACUAGUGUGAAAAUUUCGUGCUUUAAUUUCGUCGUUUGAGUGUCCGAUUAAAUAAAAGGAUUAAAUUACGUAAAAUAAAAAUUUAAUGGUUAUUUCUAAAAGGGCUGAAUAGUGGUUAUUCUUUUAAUAUGGAGGUUUUAUUUUGCAAUUUGACCAUUAAAAAGAUAGUGGACGACAUUAUGUGUAUAAUAUAUAGUUUUUAUAUUAUUUAUAAAGGUUAUAAUAUAUAUUAUAUUAUAAUAUUAUAAUUAAACAAAUAAAAGCCACUAUCAUCUUUUAUUUCAUUAUCAUCUAACCGAAACUAAGAAAAGAAAAGAAAAGAGAACAACCAAGCUAUUCGACCAUCUUUGAAGCUUGAUUUAAGUUAUGUUUGGUUUCGGUUUUUGAUGAUUUUUACGUUUUUGUGAUCGUUGCUUCGUGUUAUAUCUAGCCCAUGUUUUAAUUUUAGAAUUUGAUGGUGAUUUUAAGACAUGCCAUUUAUGAAUACUUGAGCUUGGUAAUAGUUGAUGAUGAAAUAUGAAAGAUAUGUGAUAGAUUAUAAUGUUUGUUCUUGAAUUUUUGAUGAAUUUGAUUAUUUUGGGUUAAUUUGUAAGAAAAUAUUUAAUUGGGGGACUAAAAGGUGAAAUAAAUGACAUGCAAGGACCUAUAUGAGUCUAGGGAAUAUUUGGCCAAAAUAUAGUGUGGUCAAUUUGGAAUAUUUCGUAUUUUGUACAAUUUGGACUAAAUUAUAAAAAUGUUAAAUAUCAGGGGCAAAAUGGUAAAUUUUCCAUUUAUGUGUUGUUGGAAAAAAUUGAAUGAAAUUAUGUUUGAAUGAAUUCAAUUUGAAUGUGUUUAGAUUAAGAAUUAAAGAAAUCAGACUUGGAUCGGGGGAAGACUAAAGUUGUUGAAUAAUCGUUCCGUUUCGAUUAUCGUUGUCUGAGGUAAGUUUAUAAGAAAAUAGACGUUGUAAAUUUUAGAUAAAUAUUAAUUAUAUAUGCUGAAAUGAAAUAUGCAAAAAAUAUAUAUGUGGUAGCCAAAUGUGUAUAUGUUUGAGAAGCAGGGAUAGAUGUGAAGGUGAUUUGUUGAUAUUUAGCACUGAGUGUGCGAGUAUGAAAUAGAUACGGCUAUAUGAUUAGCACUAAGUGUGUGAAUUAAAUGAUGAGGUUGAAUAACGAGCGCUAAGUGUGUGAAAUUAAAUAAUGAUGUUAAAUAACGGGCACUAAGUGUGCGAAACCGAGAUCAAUUUGGUUAAGUGAGAGAAGAGCACUAAUGGUGCAACUUUAUUAAUGCUUCGAUAAAUUAUUUAGUACAAAUUGUACUGAUCCGAUGAAUGAUAAAUGUGACACAUAUGUAUAUGUUGGUAUAAGUAUGUAAUAUUUAAUUAAUAUAUGCUAUCAAAUUUAGUUGGUUAUGUCAAUUGGGAUACAAAAGUAUGUGUAUGUGUAAAAAGCCUAUAUAUAUAUUCGGCCAAAGGGUAAGUAUAUGUGUGAAGUCAUAACUAUGUUUUAUAUGCAUUUAUAUAUGAAUGAGUAUAUUCGGUAAAGAGUGGUAUAUGAUUUGAAUACGAAAAAAAUAACUAUGUUAUUACUUAAUGUAUAUUCGGCCAAGCUGAAAUUGGUUCAUAGUUAUAUAUUUGAUAUAUAUAAGAUUUGCAAGCUCGAAUGCGUAUAUAUGAAUAUGAUUGCAUUAUUCGGCUUGUUAUUGAAUUUUUAACGUCAUUGAAUUGUUUAAUUGCUUAUGACUUACUAAGCUGUGAUAGCUUAUUAUGUAUAUAUGUUUCCUUCAGUUUUAUAGAUUUUGGAAGCUAGUUAUGGGCUCGAGGAUCGUCAGCGUAGUCAAUCACACUAUCAUCCGUCCAUUGGUACCUAUAAAAGUUAAAUUUAAAAUCUAUGGCAUGUAUAGGCUAUACUACCCCUUUUGAAUAUAUUUUGAAUGAAGUGUAUAUAUAUAAUAAGCCAUGUGAAGAUGGCUUGUUUAUUUUGACAUGAAUGGUUUCAUACUUUGAUUAAAUAUUAUGGUUGAUGAUUUGGCUAUGUUUCUUAAAUGGUUGAGACUAAUAUAAGUGAUGUUAUGUUUUGGAGGAUUUUGAAUUUUGAUAAUUAUGAAUAUUGAUUGUGAUAGACAAGUAAAGUUGAUUGAUAUGAUACGGUAUAAGUAUAAGCUAUGUUUGAAAUCAUGGAUGGAAAUAUUUUAAUUUUCGGUAAUUGACAUUGAAUUUGAAUUAUCAUUUACUAUGUGAAAGUUGUAUAUUUAUUUACUAUGAAUAUAGAGUAGUUGAAAUUGGUAAAUUGCAUAAUGAGCAUUGUUUAUGGAAUUGGUCUUGUAAAUGACCUUUGAAACAUGGAGGGAUAAAUAAUACAUAGUAAAUAAAUAAAUAAAUAAAUAAAUAAAUAAAUAAAUAUAUAUAUAUAUAUAUAUAUAGGAUCGGUCUUGGUAUGUUAUGCAUGGAAUUGUUUGAGUAUUGAUGAAUUUGAUAUUGGUUAAAACAUAAGUAUUUAAGCUUAAUUGUAUUCGAAUAAAGCUUGGGAAAUUGGCCAUAUGAAUAGUUAUUUUAUUUAUUUGAUGAACAAAUAUUUGUAUGCAAUUUGAUAAGUUGUUUUGAGUGUAUGAAUAAUAAUAAGUAAAUAUACUAUGAAAUUAUACAAAUGCUUAUGGCAUAUUCAGCCCAAUGUUUUUAUUUGUUUGUAUUUAUAAGGGUUGAUAUAGGUACAUAUGUUAAAAUAUAAUGAUUACAUGUAAAAUAGGUAAAAUUUUAAAUAUGAGUUUUAUAUACACAUUUGUGUCAUUGUUAUUUGUAAUUGAUUUGUUAGUCGAGUAGGCGAAAUGAGGUAUGACCAAAAGUGGUGUUUGAAAUAUUCUACAUAAUUUUUAAUUAUGAGUUAUGUGUUUACGAAUUUUUUCGAUGCAUGAUAUGAAAUGACUUGUAAUAGGUUGAUAUUACCUUUUUGAUUUAAGACUUGGUUGGUUUAGUAGGUUGAACAUGUGUAUAUAUAUAAUUAUUCGAAUUUGAAUUUGGUUCGGUAAUACCUAGUAACCCGAUUUCCGACGACGAUUACGGGUUAGGGGUGUUACAAGUUCAAUAACUCAAAUGAAAAGUUUUGAGUUGUUAAAUUGUCAUUUUUAAAGUUGAGUAACCAAAAUAUAAACUUACUAAUAAUUUAGUGACCUUAAGUGCAGUUUACCCAAUAAUUCCUCCUCUAAUAAUUCAAAAGUUCAUGAACCACCUAAAAGUUGACAAAUAGAAGUCGCAAGCAAUAGUGGGAUAAUUAAUUGGGCGUUGAAAAUAAUGCAAUUCUUCUUUCUUACUCAACCUCUACCGUUGGCAUACUUUUGUCUAGAGGAGGAAAGUAUGGGUAAAUUACACCUCAGGUCACUAAACUAUUACAGAGUUAGUUUCAAGUGACAAUUUGACGAUCGAUAUGAUUGAUUAGUACCCAUUUUCAUAAUAUGGAGCAUUAUAAAACUCACAAAUUUCUCUAGGGGUGACAUGUACAUCUUUGCCUCGUAUUUGUAUGUUCUCCCAAAAGGCAUCAUAAGGUCGCCUAGACACCCAGUCCCUAAAUGAUGCAUAAAACUCUUGUAAUACAAGGAUUUCAGCGCGAGGUCUCUAGGAGUCACACAAAGACAUUCCCACCUAUGAUACCUAACGAGUGCCCAAAUUUCUUUGCACAAUACCAUCGAUGGUUCAAAACUCCUCUAUUGUAUGAACUUGUUUCCUUGAAGUUAAUCUAGUUUUUCUAAGAGGCAUGUUUCAAAACUAUUCGACUAGUGAACUAAAGAUUCAAGCAAUAAGCAAGCAAUAUAACAGUAAAAUUUGAAGAAAGGAACUCUUAACCUCGUUACACUGGUUACUCUUUGUUCCGUUUGAUGAGUUUGUCACAAAUUCCUUGUGGAUAUGAAGCUUGAUACUUGCACAAGAGAGAAACCACAAAAAAAUUGCAUCAAUAGAGAAAAGAAAGAGAAAAGGGGUUUUUGAAGUUGAAGAGUUUAAGAGGUUUUAGAGUUAGAAAAGGUUUGGGAAUAUUUUAGAAGUGUUUUCGUUUUAAAGAAAGUGACAUUUUUAGGUUAGAAAUUGGGUAAAAUAGGGGUUUAUACCGGUGAGUUGCGUAAUGGGUUGGGUCAACCCUGAAAAAUUGCAGGGAUGUCGCGACAUAGGGGUUCCAUGUCGCAACACCCCUAGUAGUCUUCUGAUGUCGCAACAUCGAGGUUCGAUGUUGCAAUACACCUUUAAAAUUUGAGAUUUAGGGCUAUUGUCUUCGAUGUUGCGACAUAGGGGGUACCCGUGUUGCAACAUCGACUAGAUUUUUGAAAUCGUGUCAUGUUGCGACACUGGCCCCUUUAUUUGCCUUUUUUCUUGAAUUUCAAGGUGUUCGGUUCAAAUAUCAUAUCCUUACACUAUUUUAAAUCCUGAUUUGUCUUACUUAGUCCUCCUAUUCAAACGUAUUCAAAAAUUAGCUUUAAAAAAAUUUACAACAAAAUUAAUAAAGUGUUUUUUUUAUUAUCAAGUGUUGCUGCCGGACUCAUCUGUCAACUACAUCAGUUUGUACAUGGACACAUCUUUAUCAAUUUUCUAUUCGUGUUGGUCCAGCACCCAUCACGCCACUCUACUGUACUCAUCUUUUCUCACUCUCGGAACUUGCCUUUUCUUCCUACACUAAUCACAGAAAUACCCUUUUCAAAUCAAGGUAGUUAGGGAAAUUUACAGAUAUUAUAUAACAUGUUUUCCCAUGACCCUAUUACCGUUGUUCUGUCGGUGACCACAUUUAAAUACUUCAGUCUCACCAUUGAUUUUUAUGAUUAAUUCAUUAUUUUCUAAGUCAAUAGUGGACCUAGAUGUGUCUAGAAACGGUCUCCCUAAUGGAAUAGGGUUUUCACGGUCUUCUUCGAAGCAGCUAAUUGUAGUGUGAUAUGUGUAUUCCUAAGUUCCCAUAACUCGAGUUUUUCAUAAAUUGAUAGAGGCAAUAAUUAAUAUUGGCUUAUAAGUCACAUAGGGCCUUACUAAAAUGAAUGUCCCUUAUCUUUAUUGGAAUAAGAAAACUCCUCAGGUCUUUUAACUUUGGAGGUAUUUGUUAUGUAAUAAUUGCGCUACAGGAUGCAUCUAUAUUAACUUGCAAUCCCGUUUUAAUUUUCCUAAGUAUUUAUCAUAUUUAGUAACUUUAAAUAGCUUUAAAAAACUUUCAAACUCCGAUUCAUCCCGUUUUCAUUUAUCCUCUAACUGUGAGGGGAAUGGUACCAUUGUAUGUUUUGGUUUUAUUUUAGCAUUGUCGUUUCUAGGGAUUUCUUCUUGAAGAUUGUUGGCAUCCUUCUUGUCCUCCUCUUUAGUUGGGUUGUUUGGGCUAUUCAGUACUUUACCCGAAUGGAGCGCUAUUGCUUUUACAUGCUCCUUCUACAUUGACAACUUUAACUAUGGAUGGUUUCUGGCCAUAAGUAAAUCGCUCUUUUGGCCACUAGCAGGAACUCAUCACCAUGUUUUCAUUAAGACCAUAUGCAUUUUCAUAUGUUCGAUUCAUUAAGACUCCUUCUGCGGCUCCAUCUAAUCCUGAUCUCGAUUGUACAUCGAGCGUAACAACCUUAACUCGUAUCCAUCGCUGAAAUAGGGUUACGAAGUAUUACCAAAAUUUACAAUACAAAAAAUAGAAUUUUGAUCAUUUUCUAUCAUCAAACUUCAAAACUCAAGCAUAUUCAUCAAUGGAAAAACCCUAGUAGUUUAACAGUUUCACAAAUUAGUCCCCAGGCUAGCUAGAUUAAGCUGGAACCAUUUUGAAAACAUAUAAAUCAUUAAAAAUGGGGCAAAAAUCAAACCUAAUUGGACAAUAGAAGCUUGGCCGAAAGUUAAGCACAACAAUGGCUUCUUUCUCUCUUUAAUAUUCGGUUGAAACAAAAAAUUAAAGAUGAAGACUUUAAUUUGUUUAUUUAUUUAUUUUAUCUUUAAUAACGAAUUUGCUUAUUAACCUUUAAAAUUAUUCCAAAUUACAACAUUACCAAGCCAUGACUUUCCACUAACACAUUUAUGGACUAAUUACUAUAUAAAGGCCUCCACUUUAAAGUUCUAUAGCUAUUUAAUACCUUUAGCUAUUAGAACUCCACUUUUGCAUUUUAUGCGAUUUAGUCCUUUUUAUCAAAUUAAGCAUGUAAACGAUAAAAUUUCUUAACGAAAUUUUUAUACGAUAAUAAUAUCAUGCUGUAGGCAAUAAAAUAAUAGUAAAAUAAAUUUUUGACUUCUAAUUUUUGGUCCCAAAAUCACUGUUCCCAUUUUGCUGAAAACGGGCUAUUACAACUCUCCCCCCUAAAGGGAUUUUUGUCCCCGAAAAUCUUACUAGAAAAGAGGUUCAGAUAUUUCUUUCUCAUAGCUUUCUCGAGUUCCCAGCUGACUUCUUCUAUUCCGUGUCGUUUCUAGCUGUGUUCUUGUUUCUUAAUUCUUUCACCUCCCGAGCCAGAAUUCUGAUCGGUUCCUCACUAUAUGACAUAUCAGAUUGAAUAUCAACAUCAGUCGGGGAGAUAACAUGUGAAGGGUCAGAUCGUUACCGUCGUUACAUAGACACGUGAAAAGCAUUAUGAAUUAUUUCAAGUUCUGACGGUAAAUCUAAUCGGUAUGAAACAGGUCCAAAUCUUUCAGUAAUCUCAUACGGCUCGAUAACUCACGGACUCAACUUUCCUUUACGACCGAAUUGAAGAACUUUUUUCCAGAGAAAAACUUUCAAAAAUACUCUGUCGCCAACUUGGAAAUCUAUAUCUUUGCAUUUAAGAUCUGUAUACGAUUUUUGACGAUCUAAAGCUACUUUUAAGCUAUCUCGGAUUACUUUCACUUUUUCCUCAGUCUCGUGAAUCAAAUCAGCCCUGUGUAUCUUUUUCUGACUGAGCUCGGUCCAGUAUAAUAGAGUUCGACAUUUACGACCAUACAGAGCCUCAUACGGUGCCAUUUUUUGUGCUAGACUGAAAACUAUUUUUAUACAUAAAUUCAACCAGCAGUAAAUAUUUCUCCGAGUUGCCUUCGAACUCUAGUACACAACAUCGAAGCAUAUCUUUGAGAAUCUGAAUCACAUGUUCGGACUGACCAUCGGUCUGACGGUGAAAUACAGUGCUAAAAUACAACUGUGUACCAAGAGCUUCCUGUAACUUUCUCCAAAAUCGCGAUGUAAACCGAUGAUCUCUAUCCGAAAUAAUGGAGACUAACACUCCGUGUAAUAUGACAAUCUCAGAAAUAUAUAACUCAGCCAAUCUUUCAAGGGAGAAAUCUGUACGUACCGGAAUAAAAUGUGCAGACUUCAUCAAACGGUUAACAAUAACCCAAAUAACAUAUUUCUUUCUCGGAGAUAGGGGUAAACCCGAUACGAAAUCCAUAGUAACUCUAUCCCAUUUCCAUUUCGGUAGCAUCACUGGCUGUAAUAGUCCUAAAGGUACCUGAUGUUCAGCUUUAACUUGCUGACAUACAAAACAUCUCAGUACAAAAUUAGAUAUUUCACGUUUCAUUCCUGGCCACCAGUACAUCUAUCUCAAAUCACUAUACAUUUUAUUGCGUCCUAGGUGAACAUACAAGCUACCACUGUGAGCUUCGUGUAAGAUUCUCUGAAUGAGCUUUGGAUUCUUCGGAACAAAAACUCUACCUCUGAACAAUAAACAAUCAUCAGGUCCUAUCUAAAAUUCUAAAUCAAUAAUCGACUUACACUGUGCUGUUUAGCUAACAAAUCAUUGUCACAUUUUUAGCUUCACAGAUCUACUGUAAAAUCAUCAGUCUAGCUUUCAACUUAGUUAAGAUUGAUCCAUCUCCAGAUAGUGUCAGUUGCGUAUUCAUCGUGUGCAGAGCAAACAAGGACUUUCUACUCAAAGCGUCAGCAACUACAUUUGCUUUUCCCGGAUGAUAAUCAACGAUCAAUUCAUAAUAUUUCAAUAGUUCAAGCCUUGUUUCAGAUUUAGAUCUUUCUGUGACAUUAAAUACUUUAAACUCUUAUGAUCAGUAAAUAUGUGACAUUUUUCUCCGAACAAAUGGUGUCGCCAAAUUUUUAAUGCAAACACAAUAGUUGCCAAGUCUAAGUCAUGUGUCGGAUAGUUCUUUCCGUGCGGUUUUAACUGUCUGGAAGCAUAAACUAUUACUUUGCCUUCCUGCAUCAAAACACAGCCUAAACCAUUUAAAGAUGCAUAGCUAAAAAUCACAAAUUCUUUACCUGAUUCAGGCUGAACUAGAACUAGUGCUUCGGUCAACAAUGCUUUCAACUGAUUGAACUUUGCUAACAUUUAUCGGACCAUUCAAAUUUCACAUCUUUUUGUAAUAACCGCGUCAUCAGUGUAGCUAUCAUUGAGAACCCUUGAACGAAUCUUCGGUAAUAACCAGCUAAUCCCAGAAAACUUUUGACUUUAGAUACGUUUCUCGGUGGUUUCGAGUAAACAACAAUGGGAAUUUUACUCGAGUCAACUCUGAUGCCUUAAGCCGAUACAGUAUGUCCCAGAAAAUCUACUUCUUGGAGUCAAAACUCACAUAUGCUAAAUGUAGAAAUAGUUGUUUAUCUCGCAGAGUUUGCAAAACAAUUCUCAAAUGUUUAGCAUGCUCGAAUUCAUCUCGGGAAUAGAUCAGAAUGUCGUCAAUGAGUACCACAAAAAAUUUGUCUAAAUAUGGACUGAAGAUUCAGUUAAUCAAAUCCAUAAAUACUGAGGUGCAUUAGUUAAACCAAACAACAUCAUAAGUAAUUCAUAAUGUUCGUACCUAGUUCUAAAUGCAGUUUUCGGUACAUCAGAAUCUUUCACUCGCAGCUGAUAAUAGCCAGAACGAAGAUCAAUCUUCGAGAAUACUGUGACACCUUUCAACUGAUUGAACUGGUCAUCAAUUCGAGGUAGUGGAUAUUUAUUUUUUAUUGUAAUAUUGUUAAGCUGACGGUAAUCUAUACACAAUCUCAUCGAUCUGUCCUUUUCUUAAUGAACAGAACCGGUGCACCCUAAGGAGAAAAACUAGGUCGAGCAAAACCUCUAUCUGUCAACUCUUGCAGCUGUACUUUCAACUCUUUUAACUUGGUAGGAGCCAUUCUGUAAGGUUCUAUCGAUAUUGGUGAUGUUACUAGUACCAAUUCUAUAGCAAACUCAACCUCUCUGACCGACGGUAAUUCAGGUAACUCCUUUGGAAAUACAUUGGGAUACUCGCAAACCAUUGACACUGAUUCAAGCUUUGAUUCAGACCGUUUAGUAUCCAGUGCACAAGCAAGAUAAGCAUUACAACUUUUUCUCACAUAUUUCUGUGCCGACAUAGUUAAUGUAAAAAUCGGUAACCCACUCAAAUUAUUUGAUUUAAUACGAAACGUCUCAUUGUUUUGACAUUUCAAAAUAAUAAGCUUUUGUCUACAGUUUACAACAAUAUCAUGCAGAGUUAGCCAAUCCAUACCUAGAGUCACACCAAAUUCAUCAAAUGAUAACAACAUCAAAUCAGCCGAAAAACUAUAACCCUGAGUCAUUAAAGGGCAAUUCUUACUGACUUUAUCAACUAGUACAUACUAACCUAGGGGGUUCGAUACUUUAACUGCAAAUUCAGUAAACUCAACAGGUAAAUUUUUACUAGAUACUAACUUCGUGCAAACAUAUGAAUGGGUUAAUCCUAGAUCAAUCAGAGCAGUAACAUCAGUGUCAUAAAUAGAGAAAGUACUGGUAAUAACAUCUAGCACAAAAGCAUCCUCGUGAGUGCGAAUAGUAGAAGCCCUAGCUAGUGCCUGUGCCUCAGAUCUCACAGCAGAAUCUUUUGUAAUACCACGACUACCACUCACAUUUCCAAGAUUACGAGGUGGUUUACCUCUCACAACAGUAUUGCUCGGCCUCAUGGUCUGAGCUUUUUCUUUCUCGGAUUUCUCUAGGCAAUCUCUAAGAUAGUGGUCUAAGGAACCACACUUAAAGCAUGCUUCGCUCUUCACUUGACACUCACCAUAAUCUGAUCUAUUACAGUGGUUACACUUGGGUCUAACAUCUCUGGCACUACCCAUAAUCGCUAUAGAUGUAGCCUGAGGUUUAGGACUGGAGCGUGGGGUACCUCUGUCUCUACUAGAAUAUCCUACAGAAGCAAUAGAACUGUUGUGAUGUUCUUUUGAUUUCUUUGAUACUGAUUGAUAGGACUUCUCAGUCAAUCUUUUUUUCGAGUCUCUAGCUUCAAAAUCUGCACGUCUUUUCUCUUUACUUAGUUCUUCGACCUUAUGUGCCCGGUCAACCAGUACAACAAAUUCUUUCAAUUUCAGAAUUCCCACCAGAAGCUUUAUGUCUUUGUUUAACCCAUCUUCGAAUCUUUUACACAUAGCGGUCUUAGUCAGAACACACUCCCGGGCAUAUUUACUUAAUCUGACAAAUUUUCGCUCAUACUCAAAUACAGUCAUAUGGCCCUAUUUAAGCUCCAGAAAUUCUUUAUGUUUUUGAUUCAGAAACCUCUGAUUGAUGUAUUUCUUUCAGAACUUGGUUUGGAAAAAUUCCCAGGUGAUCCGCUCUCUUGACACAAUUAAAGUCAACUUGUUCUACUAUUGGUACGCUGAAUCUUUCAAAAAUGAUACCGCAUAUUUAACACAUUCAGCCAGUGUGUAGGAUAGCUCAUCAAAAACCCUGAUCAUAUUCUCUAACCAGAAUUCAGCUCUCACGGGAUCAUACUCGGCUGUAGCUCAGAAUUUUUCAGUCCCGUACUUACGUAUCUUAUCAACAGGAGGAUUAGUAACUCGAAUUUGUUCCAUAACGGGAACUGAUUGGAGAACAGAAGGGGGUGAAGGUUGUUGAGCAGUUAGGUUCGUCCUUACAAACUUGGUGAACCACUCAUUCAUCAUCUGGAAGAAGACUUCCUUAGCCUCUUCUCCGCAGCCCUCAAAUACGGGCCUCGUACCGCUCGAAGCUAUUCUGUGAAUGGAUGCCUGAGCGUUGCUCUCUACUUCAUCGAAAUCAACUCGGUUGGAUGUCACAACUAUAAGAAAACAUGUUUUAAAACGGUCAAGAGAUAUCAUAUUAUCACAAGUUAUAUAAUUACAUGUAUAGCUAGACUCGUACUCGCUACAUUCAGUUUGAGAACAAGCUAAAUCGUAGAUCUGAUACUAAUAAAUGCAACACCCUAACCAGUAUCCAUCUCCAGAAUAGAGUUACGGAGUGUUACCAAAAUUUACAGUACAAAUAAAUAGAAUGUCAAUCAUUUCGUAACUUAUCAAUAUUCAUAACAAAACCAAUCAAAAUCAUACAUACUGUCCCUUAUACGAGCCCUCGAUGCCCUAAAUGCAGGUUAGAAACAAGUCGAGAUGAAAUCAGAAACUCGUAGAAUUUUUCAGAAAACAUUACAAAUAUUUAAAGCUACAGGGGUCACACAACCAUGUGACUCACAUGGUUAAGAGACACGCUUGUGUCUCAGGCCGUGUACCCUUCGAAGUAACCUCACACGCCCAUGUGCCAGGCUGUGUAACAGCCUGACUUGCAACCCUUUGAAACCUAUAGCGGACACACGAACGUGUCACCUGGCCGUGUGUCACACACAGCUGAGACACACGCCCGUGUCUCUGCUCAUAUGGAUGAAAAUAGGCCAUUUUACAAGCCACUUUUCUCACCCAAUUUUGCAUCCACCUACAUUCAACAUUUUGCAUAUAAACAAACCAUAUUAAGGCAUCCAAAACAAGCAAAAUCAAGCCUUAAACAUGUAGUAUAUUCAUAUACAACCAAUAUGCCCUUAGGCACCUCAAAUGACAAUAUGCAAAUAUAUAUAAUCAUUACACCAUUAAACCAAAUAAGCCAAUAAUUUACCAAGCCAUUUUGCAUUAUUUCAUGCCACUUAGCCUACCUAUCAAAACAUACGAACCACAUUAGUCAUGUAACUUCAUAAAUGAAUCAAUAAUUAUGGAUGAGCUCAACAAUUAAUCAAGUUUCCAUAUACAAGUAACAUUCAUAUCAUGUAUCUAUAUAUCAUGUGAAGCCAUUUCCAUGUAUUUCAUGUAAAUACCUAUAAUAGUUCGUAUCAAACUCAUAUUAUCUCGUAACAGAACAUUUCCCGUUGAACCAUUUAGAAUAUCGUUGGAUACUCGGGUAGUACACACGAGGUGUACUAAACUGUAAUCCGUCAAUUCCUGUACAUGUAUGCUCAUACGAGCUCUGAAUCGGUGUGCUCUUACGAGCUAUAAUCAGUAAGCUCAUAUGGGUUGAGUAACGGUAAGCUCUCACGAGCUAAAAUCGGUAACCCUAAUGACAUGUCAUUUGUAUCCUACGAAUUCCUAAGGUUCAAACGAGACUCAGUAAUCGUCGUACGUCGUCAGAUAUGCGAUCGGUGUUCAUACAUGGCAGUUAUACAAUUCACAUACAUAUAAUUCAAUUAAAGCAUAUAAAAAUACAAUUUAAUUACACGAACUUACCUUGACGAGUAUACGUAGAUACGGAGGUGACUAUUCUGAAACUUUCUCUUUGCCCGAUCUAAAUCUGUAGGAGGUCUAACUGGAUAUAUAUGGAUAAAUUUAACUCAUUUCAACAUAUAAUUCAUUCAAUUUAAUCCAAAACAUAUAUUUGGAAAAAUUACCAUUUCCCCCUUUACUUUUAAUUUCUUUGCAAUUUAGUCCCUAGGCUCGAAAAAAUGAAUUUAAUGAAAUUUUUCCCUUACCCAAGCCUAGCCAGUUUCUAUACAUACUAAUAGUAGCCCAUAUAUUUCACAAAUUCACAAUUUUACCACAUAAUAUUUUCCAUUUUUUAAUUUAACCCCUAAUUGAUAAUUUCAUCAAAAAUUCCUUUACAAAAGUUGUUUAUCUAGCAACAACCAUUCAUUUUCUAUCAUAAAAUUUGAAAACUCAAGCAUAUUAAUCAAUGGAAAAACCCUAAUAGUUUAACAAUUUCACAAAUUAGUCCCCAGGCUAGCUAGAUUAAGCUAGAACCAUCUUGAAAACAUAUAAAUCAUUAAAAACGGGGCAAAAAUCAUACCUAAUUGGAGAAUAGAAGCUUGGCCGAAAGUUAAGCACAACAAUGGCUUCUUUCUUUCUUUGAUAUUCGGUUGAAACAAAAAAUUAAAGAUGAAGACUUUAAUUUGUUUUUUAUUUAUUUUAUCUUUAAUAACGAAUUUGCUUAUUAACCUUUAAAAUUAUUCCAAAUUACAAGAUUACCAAGCCAUGACUUUCCACUAACACAUUUAUGGACUAAUUACUAUAUAAAGACCUCCACUUUAAAUUUCUAUAGCUAUUUAAUACCUUUAGCUAUUAGAACUCCACUUUUGCACUUUAUGCGAUUUAGUCCUUUUUAUCAAAUUAAACAUGUAAACGGUAAAAUUUCUUAACGAUAUUUUUCUACGAUAAUACUACCAUGCUGUAGGCAAUAAAAUAAUAAUAAAACAAAUUUUUGACUUCAAAUUUUUUGUCCCAAAACCACUGUUCCAAUUUCACUAAAAAUGGGCUGUUACAUCGAGUCUAACCAAGGGAAAGCGUUUCUUUUAAGGAGAAGGGGAAGAAUCGAAGAAGAAAAUAAUUAUAAAUGACCUCGUUCAAUAUAAAAGUAUCUUAAAGUUGGAUAAACUAUUUUAAAUGUUGGUUUGGGUCCUCUGUCAUAGUUCCUCUGAACUGUAGGUUAUUUUGAAUCAUCUGGAUCAUGCGAAGCUUGAUCUGAAAAUUAUUUGCGGUUAUAGCCAGCCUUGCAAAGAUAGCUUGUAUUGUGUCGAGGGUUGGUAGCAUGUAAUCUCUCAGUAUACGUUCCUCUUGAGCCAUUUUUCGUUCUGUCGAUAGUUGUGGUGGUGGUAGAUCUAGUAAAUUAGGAUUGUCGAAAAGUGGAUUUUGUGUGGUGGAUUAACAGUUGCAGGUGGGUUAUUUUGCAUCUGCUGUUUUUGCUAUUGACAAUUUCUAAGAAUUAGUCUCCUUGGAUCAGCGGCUGGCUCCAUGGGUGUGCCCCUACUUUGAGUAUUGUACUGAAACCACAAAGAAAAAAAA